Molecule: long non-coding RNA, 645 nt
Organism: Papaver somniferum (opium poppy)
Lineage: Eukaryota; Viridiplantae; Streptophyta; Magnoliopsida; Ranunculales; Papaveraceae
Exons: 3
Source: RefSeq, a predicted model, not a curated record
UCCAACCACCACCGAACAGACUUUCCAUACCCCUCUACUGUCAAACCCUUGCCUCCAACAUCACCACCACUAUUCAUCAACCUUCCUUCCCAUUCAGUACCAAAGUACACAGCAUGGCUCCUUGUAUCUGUUCCUAUUUUUUAUGUCUUUCUUAGCUACUCCUUUGGAGCUACGACUAGACUUACUGUCAAUGAAAAGUGAGUGGGAGAUGAAUGUCAAAAUCAAUCUCAGAAGAUGUUGAGAUAUCAAGGGUCUAAUGCAGCAAGCAAUAGAAGAAACGGGUUGUCAGAAUUUCUUUUAGAGAAAACUACCACGAAAAGGUAAGAACUAAGAGACUCGAAAGAAAAGAAGGAACAUUCAGUUCCAAUUAGCCUUCUCCCGGAUGCGCACCGGAGAUUGAACUUGACAUUUGGACGCGCGCGUAUCCGGGACAGACACAUCGGUGACAUCACAUGCAUAUAUUACACACUAUUUUAAUAUAAAUAUCUACUAAAAGUAUCUGAAUUUUUUUGUAUAUGUAAUAUUUUAUUAGUAUAUAGAAUUAUUCUUAUACAAAUUUGUUAAUUUAUCAAUAUUUUAUUAGCAUUGUUGUGAAAUUACAUUCAUUAUAUAUAUAUAUGUAUUGGUGGGAAAUAUCAUUAAUUC